AUAUCAAAGCAGUCUCAUGAAACAUUUACAUUUCACUAAUUACAUAUACAUGUAUUCUACUUGUUAAGGCUAGCAAAAAUUCCUUUUUUGAUAUGUGAGAGUCAGCCAGAACAAGUACGAGACAGUAUUUAUUCUGCAUUUUAAGCCAUGAUAAGUCUGUAUUUUGUCAUCACAGCUGACGAAGACCUCCAUUAUAGUAUCAGUGUCAAACGUUGAAUAGUAAGUUAUGGUGGUAUGUCUAAUAUCCAUCAUAAUUACAACACUGCACAAGCCUUUAUUUCCUUUGGGCCAUAUUCAGAGUUGGAGACUUAAGUUAAAAGAUAGGUUGAUAUUUACAUGAGGAAAGUUUUUUGUAUUCAGGGCAGAGGUCUCUAUAUAUAAACCUAUAUAUUUACUUAGAAUAGGCCAUACUUAUACUCUUACUAAAGUUAAUUUUCAAUCACAGAAAUGUUCUUUUACUUCACUACAUUCGGUGGUGUUCCUCGGUUACUGUUGAAUGUUAAUGAAUAUAUGUAGUUUUAAUAAUUAGUUUAUAUCACGCAUAAUGAGAUAGCGAGUCUCAUGAUACGCUGCAAUGGUUUAAAUGUGGACGCAACAACUGCUCACUUUUUUAUUGGCUCUCAGUCCUGGAGAGGGGGAAAAGUGAGUGUGUCAACAGAGGCAGGACACACACAUACACACACAUACACACACAUACACACACAUACACACACAUACACACACAUACACACACAUACACACACAUACACACACAUACACACACAUACACACACAUACACACACAUACACACACAUACACACACAUACACACACAUACACACACACUCUCUCUCUCUCUCUCUCUCUACACACACUUCUCUUCUGUUCUGUUCCAUAGUCUGUUCUUUUAUUCUCUGUUGUCUUGUUUAAAUGCAGAUGCUGACAACUUUGUGUUGUUAACAUGUUGUGAAAAUAAAGACAGUCAGCUGAUGGGAAUAUGUUUGUUUUUUGGGGCAUGUGUGAGGUUUUGUGUUGAAAAUGCCUGGUUGUGUGUUACUGUACCCAUCACAGGACUGGGAUAUGCUGCUUCAUCUUGAACCCAGGUUUUAUAUCAUAUAAACAGAAUAGACAGUUUUUAAGGAGAGGUGUGACUUACAGUUCUCCAUGUAGUCUGAGAUUCAGGAUUUUCCCUUCAUUUUAAUCAGAUCCGAAGCAACUAACUUGCUACUCGAGUAGUCUUCUCAUUGGAUACUUUAUUACGCUCACUCAAGUAAUUAUUAACAUUAUUACUUUUACUGUUACUGGAGUAAUUACUUUUACAAGGAGUUUUACUUGUGCAUGAGUAAAGUUUUGGGCUAUUCUAUACACCUCUGAUUCAGAGUCAGUUUGUGCAGAUGCUGCAGCUGAUUUUCUGAAUUUAGAUUAUUAAAAUGACCUGUGUGGAGUUAAUGCCUGUGAUGUUGCCAGAUUUGUAUUUCUUUUUUAAUUAAUAGAAGUGCUGGGGUUUUUAAUAGUACCAGGACCACUGCUGUUAAUCAAAAGUACUUGCCUUUAAGCCUGACAAAUUCAGCAGAUAUAAAACAGAAAUAGAUAGAAAUCAAACGAUAUUUUGAUCAUGUUUUUCCCGUUUGCUUUUAGCUGCAAUACGAUGUAACAUAAAACCAAGAGACAAUAAAUAAAUACAAAAAAUAAGCAAAUAAAAAUAAAGUCUAAUGUGA
Long non-coding RNA from Ictalurus punctatus (channel catfish), 1697 nucleotides. The record is from Ensembl. NCBI's taxonomy places the organism in Eukaryota, Metazoa, Chordata, Actinopteri, Siluriformes, Ictaluridae.